ACUAGCCUUUCAGUCUCACGCAUUUGCUUCCCUCUCUCAAACCCUAGCCUCAUCACUCUCCUCUAAGCUGUGUCACCACCGCCGUCCUACCGCCGCCGUCGAAUCUGGUCCAGUCGUCGUCCCUACUGUUUCAGCGUCGUCGCAGCUCAUCUCUGCCGUCGCGUCGCGCCGCAUAUGCUCCACCCUCCUCUGCUCGAACAAUCAUAGCUUAUUCCUCAAGCCGGUCUCAGUCCUCAUCUUUGUCUGCUUCGUCAUGCUACUGCCGCCGUCUGUCGUCGUCGUAGUCAUCGUUAAGUGACGAGACACACAAACAUAGAGAGAGAGAAUGCGCUGCGAAGGGGAAAGAAGGGGUGGAGGUCGCGGGAGGAGGCGCGCGAAUGGUGAGGCCUUUGCUUCUUUCGCCGUGUUUGAGGUCGAAGACGGCCGCCAGUGCUCCUACCUCUGUUGCUACCUCUGUCGUGCCUUGCCAUCAUGUUACCACUUAUUUCAAAAGUCCUCAUUCUUGUUCUACUUCAAAAUCAUGCUAAAUUUUUACCACAGUCGCACUAACAUGGGUCAUGGGACAGCGAUACAUGGAAACAUCCAAGAUUAUGCCUGCUGGUCUUGUAGCAGGACUUAGAUUUUCUUAAUCAAAGCCUUUGUGUGGAGAACAAGUUGGAACACAAGCUGACCAAACUGGAUCAAUAAGCUACAUUUAAUUCAAUCUUUUUCAGUUAUAUUAGUUAGCAAGUUGGAGCCAUUAUGUAGAGCACUGUGAUGGAUGUUUCAAGAAGAAAAUAUAAAAAAGACCAAACAGUUUCAUAGUGCAUGGUGCAAUCAAUGGAAACUGUGUUUUGGAGCUGAAAUCUCCAGUUCCCUAUCCCUAGAAUUUGAGAUGGUGUUGUAUUUAAGUAGGUAUUUCUAUAGGGAAAAAAA
Non-coding RNA from Arachis ipaensis, 915 nucleotides. The record is from RefSeq and is a predicted model, not a curated record. Lineage: Eukaryota; Viridiplantae; Streptophyta; Magnoliopsida; Fabales; Fabaceae.